UGGGGAAUAUUGCACAAUGGGCGCAAGCCUGAUGCAGCCAUGCCGCGUGUAUGAAGAAGGCCUUCGGGUUGUAAAGUACUUUCAGUCGGGAGGAAGGUGUCAAGGUUAAUAACCUUGGCAAUUGACGUUACCGACAGAAGAAGCACCUGCUAACUCCGUGCCAGCAGCCGCGGUAAUACGGAGGGUGCAAGCGUUAAUCGGAAUUACUGGGCGUAAAGCGCACGCAGGCGGUUGAUUGAGUAAGAUGUGAAAUCCCCGGGCUUAACCAGGGAAUUGCAUCUGAUACUGGUCAGCUAGAGUCUUGUAGAGGGGGGUAGAAUUACAUGUGUAGCGGUGAAAUGCGUAGAGAUGUGGAGGAAUACCGGUGGCGAAGGCGGCCCCCUGGACAAAGACUGACGCUCAGGUGCGAAAGCGUGGGGAGCAAACAGG
This 429-nucleotide ribosomal RNA is filed under the name Chloroflexota bacterium. Its description in RNAcentral is "Chloroflexi bacterium partial 16S ribosomal RNA". It matches the Rfam family "Bacterial small subunit ribosomal RNA", at positions 355 to 776 of the family's 1533-position model. Lineage: Bacteria; Bacillati; Chloroflexota. The record is from RNAcentral.